Molecule: unclassified non-coding RNA, 373 nt
Filed under: Hevea brasiliensis (rubber tree)
Lineage: Eukaryota; Viridiplantae; Streptophyta; Magnoliopsida; Malpighiales; Euphorbiaceae
Source: RNAcentral
GUCGAGUUUGUGAAAGUUGUACAAGAAAAAGCCAAAGAACUAUCAUUGGAUUUAAAAAGCAUAACUCAACUAUAUAAUGAAUAUGCGGUUCCUUUUGAACUCUGGUUUUGAACUCUGGGAGGUAUGUCUUGAGAUGCUUUACUUUGCAAAUUAUUCUGGUGAUGCUGAUAGUAGCAUUAUAAGGGAAACCUGGGCUAGACUAAUAGAUCAAGCUCUUUCAAGUGGUGGCAUUGCUGAAGCUUGUUCAGUGUUGAGAGGGUUGGUUCCCACAUGUAUCCUGGAGAUGGAGCUGUUUUACCUUUAGAUACUUUAUGUCUUCACCUUGAGAAGGCCGCUCUGGAGAGACUGGAAUCAGGGGUUGAAUCUGUUGGAG